Molecule: transfer RNA, 77 nt
Filed under: Arthrobacter phage Racecar
Lineage: Duplodnaviria; Heunggongvirae; Uroviricota; Caudoviricetes
Description: tRNA-Met
Rfam family: tRNA
About the family: Transfer RNA (tRNA) molecules are approximately 80 nucleotides in length. Their secondary structure includes four short double-helical elements and three loops (D, anti-codon, and T loops).
Source: RNAcentral
UGCGGAGUGGGGGAGUUCGGUUGUCCCCGCUGGCCUCAUAAGCCAGAGAUCGUGGGUUCAAAUCCCACCUCCGCAAC